GGAGUUGUGGCUCAGUGGUAGAGCACUCACCUCACACAGGUGAGAUACUGGGUUUGAUCCUCAGCACCA
This 69-nucleotide transfer RNA is filed under the name Marmota monax (woodchuck). It matches the Rfam family "tRNA". From Rfam's summary of the family: Transfer RNA (tRNA) molecules are approximately 80 nucleotides in length. The record is from Rfam by way of RNAcentral. Lineage: Eukaryota; Metazoa; Chordata; Mammalia; Rodentia; Sciuridae.